RNAcentral lists this ribosomal RNA (425 nucleotides) under uncultured bacterium. RNAcentral's name for it is "bacterial SSU rRNA". It matches the Rfam family "Bacterial small subunit ribosomal RNA", at positions 354 to 796 of the family's 1533-position model. The record is from RNAcentral.
GUGGGGAAUAUUGGACAAUGGGCGCAAGCCUGAUCCAGCCAUGCCGCGUGAGUGAUGAAGGCCCUAGGGUUGUAAAGCCCUUUCAGUGGGGACGAUAAUGACGGUACCCACAGAAGAAGCCCCGGCUAACUUCGUGCCAGCAGCCGCGGUAAUACGAAGGGGGCUAGCGUUGUUCGGAUUUACUGGGCGUAAAGCGCACGUAGGCGGAUCGUUAAGUCGAGGGUGAAAUCCUGGAGCUCAACUCCAGAACUGCCUUCGAUACUGGCGAUCUUGAGUCCGGAAGAGGUGAGUGGAACUCCUAGUGUAGAGGUGGAAUUCGUAGAUAUUAGGAAGAACACCAGUGGCGAAGGCGGCUCACUGGUCCGGUACUGACGCUGAGGUGCGAAAGCGUGGGGAGCAAACAGGAUUAGAUACCCGUGUAGUCC